UGAGUAACACGUAUCCAACCUGCCGUCUACUCUUGGACAGCCUUCUGAAAGGAAGAUUAAUACAAGAUGGCAUCAUGAGUCCGCAUGUUCACAUGAUUAAAGGUAUUCCGGUAGACGAUGGGGAUGCGUUCCAUUAGAUAGUAGGCGGGGUAACGGCCCACCUAAUCUUCGAUGGAUAGGGGUUCUGAGAGGAAGGUCCCCCACAUUGGAACUGAGACACGGUCCAA
This 227-nucleotide ribosomal RNA is filed under the name uncultured bacterium. Its description in RNAcentral is "partial 16S ribosomal RNA". It matches the Rfam family "Bacterial small subunit ribosomal RNA", at positions 107 to 334 of the family's 1533-position model. The record is from RNAcentral.